UGAAAAUCCGAGGCCAAUGGGCUGGGAACAACUCCAACUAUGCAUCAAGAAAGGAACGGGAGACCGAGGACUAAGCCGAUAUGAGUUCUACAAAAAAAAACUUAUAAUAUCCAACUGAUGAAGUAUACGGGAUUGCCAACUUUUUGUUGAAACCUCAAGGCGUUUAUUUUGCUUAUAUUAUUAUUAUUAUUAUUAUUAUUAUUUGUUUUGCGUACCUCGGGAAUAUACAGGCACUGCAGUCAUCAUCUAUGGAAUACAUCAUCGGAAUAUCGAGUUUGCUGGUGCUGUUGUAAGUAUGGAAGUGCCAUGUUGGUGCAUUUUUGAGCUUUUUACACUCUGAGAAAGAGGAAA
This is a long non-coding RNA of Ipomoea triloba (trilobed morning glory), 351 nucleotides long. RefSeq lists it as uncharacterized. The record is from RefSeq and is a predicted model, not a curated record. Lineage: Eukaryota; Viridiplantae; Streptophyta; Magnoliopsida; Solanales; Convolvulaceae. The transcript is spliced from 2 exons.